GCUUCCAUAGGAUAACAGUCCAUUCCGUUGGUCUUAGGAACCAAAGACUCUUGGUGCAAAUCCAAGUGGUUGCU
RNAcentral lists this transfer RNA (74 nucleotides) under Gerres erythrourus. RNAcentral's name for it is "tRNA-Leu". It matches the Rfam family "tRNA". From Rfam's summary of the family: Transfer RNA (tRNA) molecules are approximately 80 nucleotides in length. Their secondary structure includes four short double-helical elements and three loops (D, anti-codon, and T loops). Lineage: Eukaryota; Metazoa; Chordata; Actinopteri; Gerreiformes; Gerreidae. The record is from RNAcentral.